This 408-nucleotide ribosomal RNA is filed under the name uncultured bacterium. RNAcentral's name for it is "partial 16S ribosomal RNA". It matches the Rfam family "Bacterial small subunit ribosomal RNA", at positions 29 to 526 of the family's 1533-position model. The record is from RNAcentral.
AGUGAACGCUGGCGGCGUGCCUAAUACAUUCAAGUCGAACGGAGUGGCGCGCGGGUGGGUAAUGUAUAGCUAAUCUGCCCUACACUAGAGGCCAACAGUUGGCAACGGCUGCUAAUACUCUAUAGUGUAGGAUGAGGCUAUAUUGUAUCAGCUAGUUGGUGAGGUAAUGUCUCACCAAGGCUAUGACGCAUAACUGGUCUGAGAGGAUGAUCAGUCACACUGGAACUGGGACACGGGCCGGACUCCUACGGGAGGCAUCAGUAGGGAAGAUUGCUCAAUGGGGGAAACCCUGAAGCAGGAAGGGGGCGUGGAGGAUGACACUUUGCGGAGCGUAAACUCCUUUUGUUAGGGAAGUGGUACCUAACGAAGAAGCACCGGGUAACUCCGUGCUAGCAGCCGCGGUAAUUC